Molecule: ribosomal RNA, 972 nt
Filed under: Citricoccus sp. COL-65
Lineage: Bacteria; Bacillati; Actinomycetota; Actinomycetes; Micrococcales; Micrococcaceae
Description: bacterial SSU rRNA
Rfam family: Bacterial small subunit ribosomal RNA
Source: RNAcentral
GUGAGUAACCUUCCCUUGACUCUGGGAUAAGCCCGGGAAACUGGGUCUAAUACCGGAUAUGACCUCCUGUCGCAUGGUGGGGGGUGGAAAGAUUUAUCGGUCUUGGAUGGACUCGCGGCCUAUCAGCUUGUUGGUGAGGUAAUGGCUCACCAAGGCGACGACGGGUAGCCGGCCUGAGAGGGUGACCGGCCACACUGGGACUGAGACACGGCCCAGACUCCUACGGGAGGCAGCAGUGGGGAAUAUUGCACAAUGGGCGCAAGCCUGAUGCAGCGACGCCGCGUGAGGGAUGACGGCCUUCGGGUUGUAAACCUCUUUCAGUAGGGAAGAAGCCUUCGGGUGACGGUACCUGCAGAAGAAGCGCCGGCUAACUACGUGCCAGCAGCCGCGGUAAUACGUAGGGCGCGAGCGUUAUCCGGAAUUAUUGGGCGUAAAGAGCUCGUAGGCGGUUUGUCGCGUCUGCCGUGAAAGUCCGGGGCUUAACCCCGGAUCUGCGGUGGGUACGGGCAGACUAGAGUGCAGUAGGGGAGACCGGAAUUCCUGGUGUAGCGGUGAAAUGCGCAGAUAUCAGGAGGAACACCGAUGGCGAAGGCAGGUCUCUGGGCUGUUACUGACGCUGAGGAGCGAAAGCAUGGGGAGCGAACAGGAUUAGAUACCCUGGUAGUCCAUGCCGUAAACGUUGGGCACUAGGUGUGGGGGACAUUCCACGUUUUCCGCGCCGCAGCUAACGCAUUAAGUGCCCCGCCUGGGGAGUACGGCCGCAAGGCUAAAACUCAAAGGAAUUGACGGGGGCCCGCACAAGCGGCGGAGCAUGCGGAUUAAUUCGAUGCAACGCGAAGAACCUUACCAAGGCUUGACAUGUUCUCGAUCGCCACAGAGAUGUGGUUUCCUCUUUGGGGCGGGUUCACAGGUGGUGCAUGGUUGUCGUCAGCUCGUGUCGUGAGAUGUUGGGUUAAGUCCCGCAACGAGCGC